CUUUGCUUGAGGCUGCUGCAUUUAGGGUUCGAAUCCUGAAAUAUGGAUUUGACUCUUAGGUAAGUACAAGUGUACAAGCAGUCUUCCACCCUGUACCCUUGGAAGCAUAACUUGCGAUUUACCUUCCUCACGAUGCUCCAGGGUAGAGGCGAUGGGGGACCCUUAAAGUUAGGGUUCAACCUUUUUUUUUUCUUUUGGAAAACAAUUGAUUAACCCUCGAAUUGAUAGAAUAACUUGAUGCAUAGCUAUCUCGUUUAUUGAUUUACUUACAAAGAAACAUAUAUUAAUUUAUUAAAAUUUUAUUCGUUAUUAGACUAUAACAAAUAAAAUACGGUGUCGUCACUCCACUCACUCCCAAAUCCAAAUAUUGGAUCUGUUUCCCGCUGAUUGGACUUCUCAUGUUAGCAACAGAAUAUUUGACAGAACGUCAUUAGGAAAACUAUCGACUAAAAAUUAGCUCCAAAUAUAUUCCUAAUUCGAAUCCACAAGAAUAAGAAUUUUUUAGUGCGUGCUGGGUUAAGCAUAAAAAGUCAAUUAUCCAAUACGUUUAUUAACAAAAAUUACUUGAAUUUAACGUGCUUGUGUUCUUAGCCAAAAAGGCUUAAACGAUAGAUAGGUUGUGGCUUCCACGCAAUGCGAUUCUAAAUAGAGAUGGCAAAAAAAUCCGUUUAACCCGAUACCCGUGGGAUCUCGUCCCGAAUGGUUAAGGGAAUACCCGUCUAAUCGGGUACGUGGAACGUGAAAAUAUCUAGUGGAGUAGGGGUGGAGAAGGGUGCCCCGACUCAUACCCGCCCCGUUGCCAUCCUAAUUCUAAAGCAUCCUAUGGUGGAAGUGUCAUCGAGGGGGAAUAAAAUUCGACUUCCCACUAUGGUGGGCAAAACAUUUUGGAUCAAAUCAAUCACUUCGAGCCCUUCAUCUGGAAACUAAAAAUUGAAACAAAAACUCG
RNAcentral lists this long non-coding RNA (946 nucleotides) under Olea europaea subsp. europaea. The record is from RNAcentral. Lineage: Eukaryota; Viridiplantae; Streptophyta; Magnoliopsida; Lamiales; Oleaceae.